Molecule: RNase P RNA, 383 nt
Filed under: Klebsiella pneumoniae
Lineage: Bacteria; Pseudomonadati; Pseudomonadota; Gammaproteobacteria; Enterobacterales; Enterobacteriaceae
Description: RNase P RNA component class A
Rfam family: Bacterial RNase P class A
About the family: Ribonuclease P (RNase P) is a ubiquitous endoribonuclease, found in archaea, bacteria and eukarya as well as chloroplasts and mitochondria. Its best characterised activity is the generation of mature 5'-ends of tRNAs by cleaving the 5'-leader elements of precursor-tRNAs.
Source: RNAcentral
GAAGCUGACCAGACAGUCGCCGCUUCGUCGUCGUCCUCCUUCGGGGGGAGACGGGCGGAGGGGAGGAAAGUCCGGGCUCCAUAGGGCAAGGUGCCAGGUAACGCCGGGGGGGUGUCACAGCCCACGACCAGGGCAACAGAGAGCAAACCGCCGAUGGCCCGCGCAAGCGGGAUCAGGUAAGGGUGAAAGGGUGCGGUAAGAGCGCACCGCGCGGCUGGUAACAGUCCGCGGCACGGUAAACUCCACCCGGAGCAAGGCCAAAUAGGGGUUCAUAAGGUACGGCCCGUACUGAACCCGGGUAGGCUGCUUGAGCCAGUGAGCGAUUGCUGGCCUAGAUGAAUGACUGUCCACGACAGAACCCGGCUUAUCGGUCAGUUUCACCU